AGAUCACUAUGAGAGUCAGAAUCCACCUCUUGUAUCUUUUCAGAGCUAUAUAGAGGUCUAACAUGAGAAUAAAGCUAUCCUAAUCUGUUGGGAUGUGGCUGAUUGGUUGUAAAAAUGUAGAGAAAUUAUGCUGUCCAGGUGCUGCCAGUUGAAUGCCACAAGACAGUGUUUGAAAAGAUUUGUAAGAUGUUAAUCUUAUACAUUUCCAGCAGGCUCUGUUUGCUUACCAUGUUGAUUUCUCAUCAGUAUUUUGCCUGCUUUUUACAUAUUCUCAUACUGAAUCAUUGCCUUGAGGCCUUAUUAGUCAUAAACUGUUGAAAUGUGGACUCCACCUUUUAUUGUUAUGAUUAAAAAAAGAAAAGAAAAAACAUGUGAUGAUUGAAGUCAUAGGCAAGAUAGGUUUAUACAAUUGUGAAUGGCAUGGACAAAGCAGAAAAAAAUUUCCCUUCUAAAUUUUUAGACAUUUAAUGAGAAUGAUUGCCUGUAGAAAAAUGUAGACAGGACUUCUUUGUACAAUGUAUAAUUCAUUAAUAGAAUUGAGUACCAUUCACUCAAAUGUCUUGUUAAAAGGAUUGGAGAUAUUACAGAAAAUGGGACAAACUACAUAGUAUUUUAAAGAUGUAACUAGCAGCUACAUCUUAUUAUUUCUUAUUAAUUUUUUUUUAUGAAAGUACAUGGAAUCUAAUCAGGAUCAGGAUGCUAUCUUGUGACUGUGGAUAGGGGCACUCUAAACUUUUGUUCCUCUAUAGUGUAUAAUUCCGAUUCUACUGGAGUCACAUGUAGGGAUAGUAUAUUUUAAUGCACCAAAGAAAAUAUAUCUGCAUACUAAUUUGCAUAUAAUUUAAUUAUAGAUUUGAUUUUGCAUCCCCCCCUUUUAGAUUACUUAGUCCCCCAAACAUAACCCUAUACCAUUGGAUGGGUUUUAUUAGGUAUUGCUUUCAGCCAUGUAAUGCGCUUUUUUAAGACAAAAAAGGGAAAUCUAUUCCAUUUGCACAGCAAAUAAUGUACACAACACCCCAAAGCUGAAUAUGAAACCCAAACCACCAGGCUAGAAAAGUGAAAGAUAAAAAGACCAAAUAAUGACAUAAGACAGACGAUGUGUUAAAGCACUAUACAAAUGACUUCAAAUAAAGUAAAACAAAAAAAAAGUCCUUUUCCCUUUAUUCUUGCUGCACUUUAUUUAUGCAUAUUUCUUAUUAAGAGUGGAUCUUUUAAAAAUCUUUUAGUGCAAUUGGAUUUUUCAGCAAAUAUGCACAGAUGUCUUUCCAUUACUUCUCUACUUUGUUUACCUACCAACCAUAUACCCAACAAAUGUAAUUACUUGAAGAUGAGGCUGUUUGAAUAAAGAAGAGCUGGUACCUAACUGGAUAGCUGAAAAAGUACAACAAAAAGAUGGGGGACAAUCCAAAAUUAGGAGAAGGAAAUCAUCACUGAUUUUGGACAGCUUGUGACACAUUUGAGUUUCCUUAAGAUUUCACAUUUGAACAAGACAACAGUAAAAUAUUCUGUAUAUUUAAUUUUUUGGUUUAACUGCUGGUUUUAAAAGAAGUUACUUAUAUCUGAAAAGCAGGUGUAUAUAAAUCAUAUUGAUCAUUGGUGUAUCUGCCCCUUUCUGUGCUUCCACAUUGUUUUCAGUGUUUGGGUUCACAGAUCGCAUUAUGACUAAAUCAUAAUGACAUACUAGAUUAUUUUACGGUGCAGUAUAUAAACCAGAUUUACUUUUUUUGGCAUAACUUGUUUCAUGCUAGUCCCUCUGAUGUAAUUUGUAAGCCUUUGUUAAAGAUGAGUAUACUCUGCAGUACAAACAUAACCAAUGUGACUUGGUUUUACCACUAAAGGAGAAUAUUUGCAGCUCAGGGUUGAAAUGAGGGGUCCUUGGUGCUCUCUGAGCUUGGCUGUUUUCUUGCAGAUGUUUCAUUAUCCUACUAGGUAAAACAUCAAUGACAGUGAUGACUGAGGAUGUUACCUAGUUUGGGUAAUGAAAUGUCUUCAAGAAAACAACCAAGCUCAGGGAGCAUCAACUUGGUUUUAGUUUAGCAUGUUGUGUGAAUAUAGUUAAUUGUGAUGUAUUUAGUAAGCCAGGGCUUAUCAGAAUGUGCAGACCAGAUUGUAAGUAUACAGAGGGCUCUUGCACUCUGUAAAAAGUCAUUCACACAGCUAGAGGGGUGGGCAAUAAACUUAGCUUGUAGCAAAAUCACCUUUCCUUAGAUGGGCUUUCUGAUACCCAAUCAGGUUCCAUUGUUGCUUUGAUCCAAACUAAAAUUUCUGAGCCAACUCAGGACACAGGAAGACAGCCUAACUCUUAUUUUAUUUUAUUUAUUUUUAUUUGUCACAACAAUAUAUAUAAGCAUCACACAAAAAGAUUAUAUAGUGUAUAAACAUAUAUAUGAGGGAAUAUUAGGAGGUACUAUUCUACUCUACUAUUCUACUGCUAUGGGUGGUGAUGAUAGAAAGGCAAUGCAGGAUGUAACAGUGGACCUCAGUUUGACUUUAAGAGAUCCUCACCAAGGUGUGUUUGGGGGUUUCAGCAUCUUGGACCAGCAAGGCUUUUUUGGGCACUUGACAAACCCAGUCCUUGUGCCUAACAGGAACACUUUCUGACAAGAUAAAUAACAGGCAUGAAGGACCUGAUCCUUAAAGUAAUAGACAAUUCAGUUUCAAAAGAGGAGUGGUUGUUUCCAUUUAGAGAAAAACAGGGUUCCCAACUUGAAGACAUCAUGGGGAGGACAAUGGACAGGGGAGAGCUAUGUUCUUUAUGCUUUGUUUGUUGGUUCCACCAGCCAAUCCUGUAAUCUGAUUAAAAGACUUGGUGGCUCUCACUGCAAGCAAACAGUGCUCUUUUGUGUUCAGUUUGAAGCUCCAUCGUAGUCAGGGAACUCUUUUAAGCUACAUUAUGAUCUGUUCACACAGUGCUUUAGCAAAAAAGAACAUCUGUAUUGGGUUAGCAUGGCUAGUCAAAAUGUUUGCUAGAACUAUUUAAUAGAAAAAUCAAUAGCUAGCACUUCUCAGCUGGUUUCUUUGACACAGAAGAGGGAAUGAGAAAAAAGGCUUUUUGGCAUGGAAAGAAAAAGAAAGAAAGUGGGGAGGGGGAAUCUGGAGCACAUCCAACAUUGAAAGGGGAAUGGAAGAGAAUAAAGGGUGAGGCAUGGAUAUGUUCUCUGCUUUCAGAAAGUUGCAGGGAAUUCGAUGGUUGUCACAGGGAUAGUGCGCCCCUCUAAAGCAGUUGUGACUGAGGCCUUAUUUAGUGGUAUAUUCUUAGGUCUUGAACUUGAUUUAUGGCUGUCAGCUUCUCCCUCACUGUGUUCUGACAAGCUCUGCAGCUAGCAGCAUGGACUUGUUCAAGCUUGAAGUGACAUUUCUGAGCAGCCUCAGUUUUCCCACCCCCUCUGCAGUGAAGAAACUACUUCAAACUAUGACUGGUUCUUCCACUGGACUGAAAAAAAAUCUUUAUCCUGGAUUAUCAUGGUAACAAAGAAUUGUUGUCUCUUGCUUCAGAGGGAUUAGAGAGGAAGGGUUGAUUUUCUGAAGAGAAUUUACUCACAUAUGCUAGUAGAAAUCUAUCAAAUCUCCUUACUUAUUUUUCAAGUAACCUGCAUGGAUAGUUUAUAUGGGUCCAGGGACAUUUUAGUCUCAGAUUCACCCUCUACAAAGAGUUAGUUUAAAAGGCAAUACUUAACUCAAAUGCCCUCAGUGACCGUCAUAUGGGAAGGGGGCUGUUGAAUUUAGGGCUGGAUUUUUCCUCUGAUUUUUUUCUCUCUCUGUUGCUAGAUCACAUUGGAUGAAACAUCCAUAUUAUAUUAAGUUAGCCUGCUGCAGUCCUGGAUUUCAGAUUAAUUUAUGAAAUGUUAUUAUUUAUAUCAGGGCUUCUUAAACCAUGGGCUAUGAUUCUUUCCCUCUCUGUGUGAAAUUUGAAGAUGGCUUCACUUGUAGGGUGCUUGUAUAUGCAAAACUUACCCUAGCCAAACAUAGAGACUUUGGGUUUGUAGGCCCUCCCGCCUACCUUCUAUUCUUAUUGUCCAAGGUCAAUAUCCUUUAUCCUAGAAAAAUCCGUAAGGGCAGCCUCACUCCGCAUGCUCCCAGUGCAAAACUGGCAAGCAGUUAAAGGCACUCCUUAAAGGCACCCCUUUGUCUAUUAAUGUCAAUCUCUGAGGUAAGUCAGGUCAAAAAACAGAUUCCAGAAAUGCUACUUUUUGUGGUGGAGUAUUUAACAGAAAUUCAAAACCUAUCUCAAACCUUCAUUGCCCCUUUUUAAGGACAGCAAUGUCAAGAUGGGGCCAUUCUGAGUCUCUAUUUCAUACUUUUUACUUUCUCAGGGCAAGCGACCAUUUCACCUCUCCGAUCUGUUAAGUGUUCAAUUGCAUUGGGCUACAGGGACACUUUGAAAGUAUGCAGAGCAAAGCAAGGAUUUCCACUAGCCGAAGUCCAAGGCAAAACGGGCGAAGGAGACGAUUUAAAGGGGGGUUGCUGUUGCCAGCGGGCUGGAGGAGCAAUAAGAAUUUCAGACCCUGUGAAACCAGAAGCUUACCUCACCUGUCAACGUCUUACUUCUUUGUACAAGAGUUUAAGCGUGGUCUAGAACAUUCUGUGGAUCACAGUAAAUCCUGAAGCAAGAGCUGAUGAAGUACUGCGAGAAAACCAGGUUUUUAAUCUAUCACUAGAUUCUGGUCAAAUGGAAGAACAUUAAAAGAACCAACCAGAACUUCAAGAGGAGAAAAGAAACAACAACAACAACCAGACCGAGCAAUUUUCACCAAGCAAUUGCUACUAAAAGGGCACAUUAUUAAUUUAGAACAUAUUUGCUGAUCCCUCUGUUUGUAAGUCAUAUUCUCCAUUAGCACUCAGUGGAAGAAGGUUUGCUGGCUAUGAGCUGGAAUCACUGAAGCUCCUGAGACUCCCCUUUGCUUCUUUUCUCUUUCCUUUGUACAAUUCCCCCCUCUGACUUUCUCUGACUUUACCAUUGGUCCAUGACUGCUCAGGAUAUUGCGAACAAUGGUGUACUUCCCUGCAAGAAGUAUUUGUCCAAGGAUGCCACAUUUAAAAAGAAAAUAAAAUGCCAAGAGUUCAGCUCACCAUCCAGCCAUAGAUGAUCCAAACAAUCUGUCUUGUCAUCAGAGGUCAUAACAAGAGGUUGCUGCAAGCAUAUACCUUGCAUUGAGAAGCUUAUAUUCACAGCGUCUUAAAACAAACUAAAGAUAUAACCCCCCCCCUACCUUUCACACACACAAUUUGCUUGUAUCAAAUAGUUAUCUAAUCCAACUGGGAUUUUCCUGGAUUAUGACAUUUCUUGGAAGAUUUAAAAAGAAUUGGUAGGAGGCUCAGGUAAUGUAGAAGCAGGUAAGGUGAGAGUCAAACAAAAAAGAGUUUCCAGAGAAGCAAGUAGUAUAUAUAUUUUUCAAGUAUUUCUGAUGUAUUUGGGCAUGAUGUCUUCUGAAUGUUUAUAGAAAGGAAUGUUUCUAAAUGUUGAACAGAUAAUUUUAAAUUUUCACAAUCCAUUUCAUCUCUUUUCCUUCUCUAAAAUUAUUGAUCUCAUACCCAAACUCUCCUGAAAAUUUAGUUGGCAUACAGAAACAUGGUCCUAUAAUUUCCAGAGAUUAACAUCCACAGCAUUCCUUUCACUGCAAUUUCUAUACCACCAACCCCAAUUUAUCAUGUUUCUCUGUUUGUUAGGAUCUUGAACACUAGGAGAUGACCACUAGAUAGUAGUAAUGGUUGCUGUUCUCUGGACUUAGUCAACCUUCUGUGAAAAUUAUUCCUAAAUUUCAGGGCCACAGAACACAAUAUUGCAAGUGUUAUUUGAUGAAUAGAAAAGAUGAACAGAAAAGAACAAUGACUUGAUAUCACUCAUCCUAUUCUUUUCCUGCCCAUGUAAAUUUAGAUAUGUCACCAAGGAUUGCAUUACUGUAGCUGGUAGAAAAACAGGGUAUAAAUGAAACAAAAAAAAAGGAAUUGAUUGUAAAUCAAUCUAAGAUGGCGCCGACGAAGGCUGCCUCGGUGAAAUGCUCUCUAAUUGUUUCUUUAUUUCUAAUUAUUCUCUGUGACUCACUACGGAUUUCCUACUCACGAGACCAUCUGCUAAAAAUUAAGGAACAUUUCUUUAAGGAGCAGCUUUCUUUAAUCUCACCCCCGCCUGUCUUUACAAACACGGAGGAGAUUCUAACACAGGAGGAGGCAAUUCCCACGGAGCCAUGGAUUACUAAAAAAACCAAACGAAGGAAACGAGGUAAAAGAUCUGGGACCUUAAUCAAGCUAAGAACUCGCACUAAAACUCCUCUGCCUUCAAUUUUCCUAACAAAUAUACGCUCACUUGCAAAUAAGAUGGAUGAAAUACUCCUCUUAAACAAAUACUGUUAUGUAUUUAUGUUUGUACCUUUAAAUAUUUGAGCGGGAAAUCAGCACGUUGCUGAUUGGACGAAGCCUCCAGCAGAACUGUAUAAAAGGAGAGGUUUUUCCCCCAGCCUGUUGCUGGGUUCACCCUAUAUUAAAGAGCUGUUGUCACUACCCUGGUCUCCAGCCUCGUUACUUCCAGAACAUAACAUUGGCGACGAAGGUGGGAUAUCGAGGCUGAGAAGAACCAGAACCGAGCUGAAGCACGAUAGACCCGAACCCCGCAAACUCAGGGCAGAAAAGCGGAGAUGGCCAGUUACACUCCGCCCGCACCGUUUGACCCGGCGAAAGAGAAAUGGGGAACGUAUAUGACCCGUUUCGAAAGCUUUCUAGAAGCCAACGAACUGCACGGAGUUCCAGAUAACCGAAAAAGGGCUUAUUUCCUAAGCCACUGCGGUCCGGAGGUCAUUGAUAUC
Long non-coding RNA from Ahaetulla prasina, 6800 nucleotides. RefSeq lists it as uncharacterized. NCBI's taxonomy places the organism in Eukaryota, Metazoa, Chordata, Lepidosauria, Squamata, Colubridae. The transcript has 4 exons. The record is from RefSeq and is a predicted model, not a curated record.